UACAAAUGUAGCCCCUGAAAUGGCGUAGCACUUCCAUUUACACUAUUGCUGACACAAACGUAGCUCAUGCAUACAGCCAAAACGGCGAUAUGCUCGCUCCUUCGUGUGAAGGAUCUCCGUGUCAAUCUGGAUCCUUCCUCAAUGACAAUACAAGCGGCUAGGACGUGACGCGUUUGUUUCGAGACUAAUUGCAGCCCAACUGGACUAAGCCACUCCUGGAAGGGGGGUUCUGCGAGCGUGGGAACAGAGGCCUGCGGACGACAGCUUAAGGAAAGAACACUCCAAAAAAAAACCCACAACAAAUCAGAAAACCAGCACGACAACAGCAGAGGUAUAUGCGAGCGUGUCACAUCAGAGUGAGGAUACACCUUGGGGUCCUUCCUGCGACUCUCCAGCCAUCUUUUGUUGGAGUUGAUCA
Lepisosteus oculatus (spotted gar) is the source of this 418-nucleotide non-coding RNA. The record is from RefSeq and is a predicted model, not a curated record. Lineage: Eukaryota; Metazoa; Chordata; Actinopteri; Semionotiformes; Lepisosteidae.